GAUAAAUCUCAGAGUGAAAGUGGUGUCGAUCUUGAGGGCAACCUUUAGGAUUGCGGUCUCGCGACAGCACGAGCUAGCAGAUGUUGAAGAACAGGAAAUCUGGAAACCAGCACAAAAAUACACCUCCCAAGGCUUCGCCGCCAGUUCAUCGUGGGCCCAAUCGGAGUAGAUUCUAGACUAUUAUGAAGGCACCAAUGGUGGUCACUACUAUCAGUCGAAACAUGUACGGAUCGAUCCAGGAAUUUUCGAUUGUCUACGGUCGGACUACCCGUAACACAGGGACGACUGUUUUCUGACUUAUAGCACCCGUCAGUCAGUCAGCUGCUGUUUCGUGUGUCGGUGGAGGUGGUUUUGUUAUCUGUUCCCGGGCUGUUUCAAAUCACCUGCGUGGGAAUUUCCAGUAAGAAUCAAGUAUGUCAACCGGUGAUACCUUUCUGUGGUAAAGUGCUCAAUACACAGAAGCGUGCGGGCGGAACCACGACCAAUCAUGAAGAUUACGUCGAUGCAUCUUGUCCGGAGGUUUCGGUGGUACGGUGCGAAAUAAAAAGAAAAGAUUAGAUGCAAAGACGGGGCAGGUGAUCUGCAAAAAGCGCUUAAGUAAUCUGAGGAACCGGAGCUGGUGGGAGUGCCGGUGGUGCUGCUUUGGUUGCCGUUAAUAAUAGAUAGAUGAUAGAGAAACAGUCAAAAUCCUACUGGGGCGGUUUUUAUCUCUAUAAUUCCAACUUUGUGCUGGUUAUGAUGGAAUCCUACACUGGUUUCGCUCUCAUCAACGACUCUCAAAGAAUUCGUGCCCAACAUGCCAUUAACCGGGAACCAAGCCCUAUGUGUGAU
Molecule: long non-coding RNA, 831 nt
Organism: Uranotaenia lowii
Lineage: Eukaryota; Metazoa; Arthropoda; Insecta; Diptera; Culicidae
Exons: 4
Source: RefSeq, a predicted model, not a curated record